Molecule: ribosomal RNA, 200 nt
Filed under: uncultured prokaryote
Description: partial 16S ribosomal RNA
Rfam family: Bacterial small subunit ribosomal RNA
Source: RNAcentral
UAUGGAGGGUGCAAGCGUUGUCCGGAUUUAUUGGGUUUAAAGGGCGCGUAGGCGGCCUGCUAAGUCGAACGUGAAAUCCCUGGGCUCAACCCAGGAACUGCGUCCGAUACUGGUUGGCUUGAAUCCGGGAGAGGGAUGUGGAAUUCCAGGUGUAGCGGUGAAAUGCGUAGAUAUCUGGAGGAACACCGGUGGCGAAGGCG